RNAcentral lists this ribosomal RNA (400 nucleotides) under uncultured bacterium. RNAcentral describes it as "bacterial SSU rRNA". It matches the Rfam family "Bacterial small subunit ribosomal RNA", at positions 30 to 432 of the family's 1533-position model. The record is from RNAcentral.
AUUGAACGCUGGCGGCAUGCCUUACACAUGCAAGUCGAACGGCAGCACGGGGCAACCUGGUGGCGAGUGGCGAACGGGUGAGUAAUGCAUCGGAACGUGCCAUUGAGUGGGGGAUAACGUAGCGAAAGUUGCGCUAAUACCGCAUAUUCUGUGAGCAGGAAAGCAGGGGGACCGCAAGGCCUUGCGCUCUUUGAGCGGCCGAUGUCAGAUUGGCUAGUUGGUGAGGUAAAGGCUUACCAAGGCGACGAUCUGUAGCGGGUCUGAGAGGAUGAUCCGCCACACUGGAACUGAGACACGGUCCAGACUCCUACGGGAGGCAGCAGUGGGGAAUUUUGGACAAUGGGCGCAAGCCUGAUCCAGCCAUGCCGCGUGAGUGAAGAAGGCCUCGGGUUGUAAAGGU